GACGAACGCUGGCGGCGUGGAUUAGGCAUGCAAGUCGAACGGUAUCAUCCUUUCGGGGGUGAGAGAGUGGCGAACUGGUGAGUAACACGUAGGUUAUCUACCCUCAAGACGGGGACAACCCAGGGAAACUUGGGCUAAUACCGGAUGUGAGCAACUUUUAGUUGUUUGAAAGGUGGCGUAAGCUGUCGCUUGGGGAUGAGCCUGCGUCCUAUUAGUUAGUUGGUGAGGUAACGGCUCACCUAGGCAAUGAUAGGUAGGCGGCCUUAACGGGUGGUCGCCCACACUGGUACUGAGACACGGACCAGACUCCUACGGGAGGCAGCAGUGAGGAAUAUUGGUCAAUGGGCGAGAGCCUGAACCAGCCAAGUCGCGUGAAGGAAGAAGGUCUUAUGGAUUGUAAACUUCUUUAGCAGGGGAAUAAAGGUUAUUACGAGCUAAUAAUUUGCAGGUACUCUGCGAAAAAGGAUCGGCUAACUCCGUG
Molecule: ribosomal RNA, 481 nt
Filed under: uncultured bacterium
Lineage: Bacteria
Description: bacterial SSU rRNA
Rfam family: Bacterial small subunit ribosomal RNA
Source: RNAcentral